UACAGAGGGUGCAAGCGUUGUUCGGAAUUAUUGGGCGUAAAGGGCGCGUAGGCGGUGCCACAAGUCACCUGUGAAAUCUCCGGGCUUAACUCGGAGCCUGCAGGCGAAACUGUGGUGCUGGAGUGUGGGAGAGGUGCGUGGAAUUCCCGGUGUAGCGGUGAAAUUCGUAGAUAUUGGGAGGAACACCUGUGGCGAAAGCGGCUCACUGGACCACAACUGACGCUGAGGCGCGAAAGCUAGGGGAGCAAACAGG
This 253-nucleotide ribosomal RNA is filed under the name uncultured bacterium. RNAcentral's name for it is "partial 16S ribosomal RNA". It matches the Rfam family "Bacterial small subunit ribosomal RNA", at positions 524 to 776 of the family's 1533-position model. The record is from RNAcentral.